Molecule: ribosomal RNA, 253 nt
Filed under: uncultured bacterium
Lineage: Bacteria
Description: partial 16S ribosomal RNA
Rfam family: Bacterial small subunit ribosomal RNA
Source: RNAcentral
UACAGAGGUCCCGAGCGUUGUUCGGAUUCACUGGGCGUAAAGGGUGCGUAGGCGGUCGGGAAAGUCUGAUGUGAAAGCCCCGGGCCCAACUCGGGAAUGGCAUCGGAAACUGCCCGGCUAGAGGGUUGGAGGGGGGAUUGGAAUUCCCGGUGUAGCAGUGAAAUGCGUAGAGAUCGGGAGGAACGCCAGUGGCGAAGGCGAAUCCCUGGACAACCCCUGACGCUGAGGCACGAAAGCUUGGGGAGCAAACAGG